AAUGUUUUAGGUUAACGUAAACCUGUAGCCUUCAAAGUUACUGAUGGGCAAUAUGCUCAAACAUUA
This 66-nucleotide transfer RNA is filed under the name Megabalanus ajax. RNAcentral's name for it is "tRNA-Trp". Lineage: Eukaryota; Metazoa; Arthropoda; Thecostraca; Balanomorpha; Balanidae. The record is from RNAcentral.